UACGUAGGGGCCUAGCGUUGUCCGGAUUUAUUGGGCGUAAAGAGCUCGUAGGCGGUUCGGUAAGUCAGGUGUGAAAUCUCCACGCUCAACGUGGAGGCGCCACCUGAAACUGCCGUGACUCGAGUCCGGUAGGGGAGUGUGGAAUUCCUGGUGUAGAGGUGAAAGUGCGCAGAGAUCAGGAGGAACACCCAGUGGCGAAGGCGGUGCUCUGGGCCGGAACUGACGCUGAGACGCGAAGCGUGG
RNAcentral lists this ribosomal RNA (243 nucleotides) under uncultured bacterium. RNAcentral's name for it is "partial 16S ribosomal RNA". It matches the Rfam family "Bacterial small subunit ribosomal RNA", at positions 524 to 764 of the family's 1533-position model. The record is from RNAcentral.